GGAGAAUUGGUUGGGGCUGCUCCUAGUACGAGAGGACCGGAGUGGACGCACCACUGGUGUUCCGGUUGUGUCGCCAGACGCAUUGCCGGGUAGCUAAGUGCGGAAGAGAUAAGUGCUGAAAGCAUCUAAGCACGAAACUUGCCAAGAGAUGAGUUCUCCCAGGUUAUAAACCUGUAAGGGUUGUUUAAGACUAAGACGUAGAUAGGCAUGGUGUGUAAGCGGUGCGAGCCGUUGAGCUAACAUGUACUAAUUGCCCGAGAGGCUUAACUAUACAACGCUCAAGGGUUUUG
Molecule: ribosomal RNA, 290 nt
Filed under: Haemophilus sp.
Lineage: Bacteria; Pseudomonadati; Pseudomonadota; Gammaproteobacteria; Pasteurellales; Pasteurellaceae
Description: partial 23S ribosomal RNA
Rfam family: Bacterial large subunit ribosomal RNA
Source: RNAcentral